Molecule: long non-coding RNA, 745 nt
Organism: Gadus morhua (Atlantic cod)
Lineage: Eukaryota; Metazoa; Chordata; Actinopteri; Gadiformes; Gadidae
Source: Ensembl
ACGGAUUGCUCCGUCGGCCCCGGCGUCUCCUCCGUCGGCCCCGGCGUCUCCUCCGUCGGCCCCGGCGUCUCCAGCGCCCUUCGGAUUUGACCAUUUGCGAUGUCCUCUAACAACGCUAACGCAGCCAUUUUUAAAACAAUUUUCUUCAUCCAUUGCGCAUGCUUUUAUAGCCACCCAUAUAAUUGCAAGGCUGAAAAUGCUGGCAAAAGUGGAAUAUGGGGGAGUCCAAAAAUACAUUAAAGUUCCUCAAACUGAUGACAAUUUCCAUUUCCUCCAGUUUCUUCAAGAAGCAACAGACAAAUUUAGUCUGCAGGCUCAACAUCUAUCCGAGGGUGUGUUAGCCUUGACUGAUGCAUCAGAUACCGAGGUUGAUGCAGACACAUUUGAUGAGCUGAUAAAGUCAGGGUUCCGAAACUUCAAGGUUGGAUACCGCAAGUACCCAGUAACGGAGUUGGACAUUGAAUUGGUGGAAUACAACUCGCAGUCCUCCGUAUUGUCAGACUCCACAGCAUCACCAGUUUCAUUGCCAGGACCCCCCGCAUCACCAGCUUCUACAAGUUCAGGUUCGACAAUCAUCCUCCCAUCCACUAAAAACCGGAAGAGAGGCCUGGUAGAGCUGGAACGUAAUGAAGCAAGACAGAAAUGACAGAUUCACAUGGGAGGAUUCCCCCCAGAAGUGUCAGGACUAGUUAUGCACUCGGAAUUGUGACCCUUUUCCCAUAUCUACAAGAUCCGUACUCAGAGC